CCUGGGAACUGCGUUNUGAACUGGGUGACUAGAGUGUGUCAGAGGGAGGUAGGAUUCCACGUGUAGCAGUGAAAUGCGUAGAGAUGUGGAGGAAUACCGAUGGCGAAGGCAGCNUCCUGGGAUAACACUGACGUUCAUGCCCGAAAGCGUGGGUAGCAAACAGGAUUAGAUACCCUGGUAGUCCACGCCCUAAACGAUGUCGAUUAGCUGUUGGGCAGCAUGACUGCUUAGUAGCGAAGCUAACGCGUGAAAUCGACCGCCUGGGGAGUACGGUCGCAAGAUUAAAACUCAAAGGAAUUGACGGGGACCCGCACAAGCGGUGGAUGAUGUGGAUUAAUUCGAUGCAACGCGAAGAACCUUACCUGGCCUUGACAUGUACGGAACCCUCCAGAGACGGAGGGGUGCCUUCGGGAGCCGUAACACAGGUGCUGCAUGGCUGUCGUCAGCUCGUGUCGUGAGAUGUUGGGUUAAGUCCCGCAACGAGCGCAACCCUUGUCAUUAGUUGCCAUCAUUAAGUUGGGCACUCUAAUGAGACUGCCGGUGACAAGCCGGAGGAAGGUGGGGAUGACGUCAAGUCCUCAUGGCCCUUAUGACCAGGGCUUCACACGUCAUACAAUGGUCGGUACAGAGGGUAGCCAAGCCGCGAGGUGGAGCCAAUCUCACGAAACCGAUCGUAGUCCGGAUUGCACUCUGCAACUCGAGUGCAUGAAGUCGGAAUCGCUAGUAAUCGCAGGUCAGCAUACUGCGGUGAAUACGUUCCCGGGUCUUGUACACACCGCCCGUCACACCAUGGGAGUGGGGGAUACCAGAAGUAGGUAGGGUAACCGCAAGGAGCCCGCNU
Molecule: ribosomal RNA, 841 nt
Filed under: uncultured bacterium
Lineage: Bacteria
Description: bacterial SSU rRNA
Rfam family: Bacterial small subunit ribosomal RNA
Source: RNAcentral